Molecule: non-coding RNA, 1313 nt
Filed under: Pan troglodytes (chimpanzee)
Lineage: Eukaryota; Metazoa; Chordata; Mammalia; Primates; Hominidae
Source: RNAcentral
UGAAUUGGGAUGAGGGGCCAAGACAAAGCAGAAAUCUGCUGCAGAGAGCAGGAAAGAUAAAGGAUAUUCUGCAGCAGGAUCUGGGCAAGUGGCACUCAUCCAUAUCCUUUGCAUUGCAAAGAGAGGAGCUACCUCCUUCCUUUUUAUUUUCCAGUUUAUUAGUGGCUCCUAGAACCUCUGAGAACUAACUGAUUUUGACCUCUUAACAGUUGCCUUUCAACUACCAUUCAUUCACUGCAAGCCUACUGUGUAACAGGCCCUUUUUAGUCAUUUCAGAUAUAUUGUCUCUUACCCAGCUUCAAGUGACUCUAUAAGGGAGGGAUUAGCCUCACCUCACUAGUAUGGAAAUGGAGACUUGGAGUAAUCAAGUGACUUGCUCUGAAUUACACAGCUGGGAAGUGGUGAAGCUGGAAUUCAACUCAAGUUAUGUCUAGAUCUAAAACUCAUGCUCUUUUCUAUGGUCAAAGCUGCAUUUCAAAAUUGAACUUUAGCAUGGAGUCUAUGAUGACUGGCUCAUGUCUCUCCACCCAACACCUAGCCCAAGGCCAAGCACAGAGAAGGCUCACAGUGGACACUUUUGGAAUGAGUAGAUUUUGUAUGGAAUGAUCAAGCACACUGAACUACCUGGAGUAAAGGGGCAUCAUGUCUGAAACUGAUGCUUAAGUGGCUCAGAAAAAAAAUUCUGGGAGCUAGAGGGAGAGAGAGACAGAGGAGUGUGGUAAAAAGUUAUCAUUUGGGGGGUCUGCGUAAAAGGUAUAUGAGGAUUCUUUGUACGGAUUUUGCAACUUUUCUCCCAGUCUGAAAUUAUGUCAAAAUAUAAAAUUAAAAGGCAAAAUUAAAAGAAUGAGUGAGAGUUUACUAGGUAGAGAAGCAGAAGGAUCUUCUGGUAAAGGAACAGGAUAAGCAAAAGCAUCACAAGUGUGCGAGUCUUCUGUGUUGACAAACAAGCCCUGACUCUGAAUAUCCAGGACUAGCAUGGUGUGGGGAGAUGGGGAUUAGAGGGAUAAUGAGCAGCAUAACCCACAAAUGGACACAUUUCCCUGCUACCUAAGAUUAGAAGUAAAGACUUUAGGCCUACAUUAUACCCAGCCUCAAGAGUUGCAAGACAUAACAUGAGUUCUCAUGGCGGCUCAGUCUUUGCAUUGGCAGUGUCUCUUCAUCCAGUGACUGUGUGGAACAAUGGAAACCCUAGAAUCAUGGCUGAAAGGGACAUCUAGUCCAACUCUCUCAUUUUGCAGAAGGGACAACUAAGAUGCAAAAUGAAGAAAAGAUUUGCAAGGUCCCAGCAAAGGUUAGUGUUAAAACUGGCCUCU